UACGGAGGGUGCGAGCGUUGUCCGGAUUUAUUGGGUUUAAAGGGUGCGUAGGCGGCCUUAUAAGUCCGGGGUGAAAGCCCGCUGCUCAACAGCGGAACUGCCCUGGAUACUGUGAGGCUUGAGUACAGACGAGGUUGGCGGAAUGGACUGAGUAGCGGUGAAAUGCAUAGAGACAGGCCAGAACACCGAUUGCGAAGGCAGCUGACUAGGCUGUUACUGACGCUGAGGCACGACAGCGUGGGGAGCGAACAGG
RNAcentral lists this ribosomal RNA (253 nucleotides) under uncultured bacterium. RNAcentral's name for it is "partial 16S ribosomal RNA". It matches the Rfam family "Bacterial small subunit ribosomal RNA", at positions 524 to 776 of the family's 1533-position model. The record is from RNAcentral.